RNAcentral lists this ribosomal RNA (365 nucleotides) under Ignavibacteriae bacterium HGW-Ignavibacteriae-4. RNAcentral's name for it is "bacterial LSU rRNA". It matches the Rfam family "Bacterial large subunit ribosomal RNA", at positions 2564 to 2925 of the family's 2925-position model. The record is from RNAcentral. Lineage: Bacteria; Pseudomonadati; Ignavibacteriota.
CCCAAGGGUUUGGCUGUUCGCCAAUUAAAGCGGUACGCGAGCUGGGUUCAGAACGUCGUGAGACAGUUCGGUCCCUAUCCUGUGCGGGCGUAAGAUAUUUGAGGAGACCCGUUCUUAGUACGAGAGGACCGGAACGCCUAGACCUAUGGUGUAUCAGUUGUCGCACCAGCGGCAUUGCUGAGUAGCUAUGUCUAGAAAGGAUAAGUGCUGAAAGCAUCUCAAGCACGAAACCUACUCCAAGAUUAUAUAUCUCAUCCUUCGGGAGUAAGAACCCUAGAAGAUGACUAGGUUGAUAGGCUUUAAGUGUAAGCGUGGCAACAUGUUUAGCUAAGAAGUACUAAUUGUUCGAGGGCUUACCGUAACAU